RNAcentral lists this ribosomal RNA (2904 nucleotides) under Aerococcus loyolae. RNAcentral describes it as "23S ribosomal RNA". It matches the Rfam family "Bacterial large subunit ribosomal RNA". Lineage: Bacteria; Bacillati; Bacillota; Bacilli; Lactobacillales; Aerococcaceae. The record is from RNAcentral.
GGUUAAGUGAAUAAGGGCGUACGGUGAAUGCCUUGGCACUAGGAGCCGAUGAAGGACGGGACGAACACCGAUAUGCUUCGGGGAGCUGUAAGUAAGCUUUGAUCCGGAGAUUUCCGAAUGGGGGAACCUCAUUGUUUUUAUCGACAAUGGUCCACUCAGUGAACACAUAGCUGAGUGGAAGGUAGACGUGGUGAACUGAAACAUCUCAGUAGCCACAGGAAGAGAAAGAAAAAUCGAUUUCCCGAGUAGCGGCGAGCGAAACGGAAAGAGGCCAAACCAGCGUGCUUGCAUGCUGGGGUUGUAGGACUGAUGGACGGGAGUGAAUGAGCUAGUCGAACGCCAUGGAAAGGGCGAUCAGAGAGGGUGACAAUCCCGUAGGCGAAAGCUCAGCCACCUCAUUCAGUAUCCUGAGUACGGCGGUACACGUGAAAUUCCGUCGGAAUCCGCCAGGACCAUCUGGCAAGCCUAAAUACUCCCUAGUGACCGAUAGUGAACCAGUACCGUGAGGGAAAGGUGAAAAGCACCCCGGAAGGGGAGUGAAAGAGUACCUGAAACCGUAUGCCUACAAGCAGUCAGAGCCCGUUAAGGGGUGAUGGCGUACUUUUUGUAGAACGGACCGGCGAGUGACGAUAGCAAGCAAGGUUAAGCUGAAGAAGCGGAGCCACAGCGAAAGCGAGUCUGAAGAGGGCGUUGAGUUUGUUGUCGUCGACCCGAAACCAAGUGAUCUACUCAUGUCCAGGCUGAAGGUGUGGUAAAACACACUGGAGGGCCGAACCCACGUCUGUUGAAAAAGGCGGGGAUGAGGUGUGGGUAGCGGUGAAAUUCCAAUCGAACUUGGAGAUAGCUGGUUCUCUCCGAAAUAGCUUUAGGGCUAGCCUCGGAUGAUGACUAUUGGAGGUAGAGCACUGUUUGAUCGAGGGGUCCAUCCUGGAUUACCGACAUCUGAUAAACUCCGAAUGCCAAAUAGUUUAGUCCGGGAGUCAGACUGCGAGUGAUAAGAUCCGUAGUCGAAAGGGAAAGAGCCCAGACCACCAGCUAAGGUCCCAAAGUUUCAGUUAAGUGGAAAAGGAUGUGGGGUUGCUUAGACAACUAGGAUGUUGGCUUAGAAGCAGCCAUCAUUGAAAGAGUGCGUAAUAGCUCACUAGUCGAGUGACCCUGCGCCGAAAAUGUACCGGGGCUAAACUGAACACCGAAGCUGUGGAUCCGUAGGAUGGUAGGAGAGCGUUCUAUAGGCAGAGAAGCAUGAUCGUGAGGACAUGUGGAGCGUAUAGAAGUGAGAAUGCCGGUAUGAGUAGCGAAAGACGGGUGAGAAUCCCGUCCACCGAAUGACUAAGGUUUCCUGGGGAAGGCUCGUCCUCCCAGGGUUAGUCGGGACCUAAGCCGAGACCGAAAGGGAUAGGCGAUGGACAACAGGUUGAGAUUCCUGUACUUGUUUGAUUUGUUUGAGCGAUGGAAGGACACAGAAGGCUAAGCGGAGCGCGGAGAUGGAAAAACGCGUCCAAGCAAUGAGUGAGAAGGUGAGUGAAAGGCUUGCCUCAGACUUCAUGAGUUGUGACGGGGAGGGAAGUUUAGUACCGAAGCCGCCGACGUCACGCUGUCAAGAAAAGUUUCUAGUGAGAAUCAAACAACCCGUACCGCAAACCGACACAGGUAGUCGAGUGGAGAACACUAAGGUGAGCGAGCGAACUCUCGUUAAGGAACUCGGCAAAAUGACCCCGUAACUUCGGGAGAAGGGGUGCUGACCGCAAGGUCAGCCGCAGUGAAUAGGCCCAAGCGACUGUUUAUCAAAAACAUAGGUCUCUGCCAAAUCGAAAGAUGAUGUAUAGAGGCUGACGCCUGCCCGGUGCUGGAAGGUUAAGAGGAAGGGUUAGCGUAUGCGAAGCUCUGAAUUGAAGCCCCAGUAAACGGCGGCCGUAACUAUAACGGUCCUAAGGUAGCGAAAUUCCUUGUCAGGUAAGUUCUGACCCGCACGAAAGGCGUAACGAUUUGGGCACUGUCUCAACGAGAGGCUCGGUGAAAUUGUAGUACCAGUGAAGAUGCUGGUUACCCGCGACAGGACGGAAAGACCCCAUGGAGCUUUACUGUAGGUUGAUAUUGAAUGUUUGUGCCACAUGUACAGGAUAGGUAGGAGCCAUCGAAGUCGGGACGCUAGUCUCGAUGGAGGCACUGGUGGGAUACUACCCUUGUGGGAUGACCAUUCUAACCCGCGACCAUUAGCUGGUCGGGAGACAGUGUCAGUCAGGCAGUUUGACUGGGGCGGUCGCCUCCUAAAGUGUAACGGAGGCGCCCAAAGGUUCCCUCAGAAUGGUUGGAAAUCAUUCGCAGAGUGUAAAGGCAGAAGGGAGCUUGACUGCGAGACCUACAAGUCGAGCAGGGACGAAAGUCGGGCUUAGUGAUCCGGUGGUUCCGCAUGGAAGGGCCAUCGCUCAACGGAUAAAAGCUACCCUGGGGAUAACAGGCUUAUCUCCCCCAAGAGUUCACAUCGACGGGGAGGUUUGGCACCUCGAUGUCGGCUCAUCGCAUCCUGGGGCUGAAGUCGGUCCCAAGGGUUGGGCUGUUCGCCCAUUAAAGCGGUACGCGAGCUGGGUUCAGAACGUCGUGAGACAGUUCGGUCCCUAUCCGUCGCGGGCGUUGGAAAUUUGAGAGGAGCUGUCCUUAGUACGAGAGGACCGGGAUGGACACACCGCUGGUGUACCAGUUGUUCCACCAGGAGCAUGGCUGGGUAGCUAUGUGUGGACGGGAUAAGCGCUGAAAGCAUCUAAGCGUGAAGCCCCCCUCAAGAUGAGAUUUCCCAUACUUUGAAAGUAGUAAGACCCCUGAAAGACGAUCAGGUUGAUAGGUUUGGAGUGGAAGCUUAGCAAUAAGUGGAGCGGACAAAUACUAAUCGGUCGAGGACUUAUCCAA